UAAAAUGAGAGUUUGAUCCUGGCUCAGGACGAACGCUGGCGGCGUGCCUAAUACAUGCAAGUCGAGCGAGCGGAACUAACAGAUUUGCCUCGGUAAUGACGUUAGGAAAGCGAGCGGCGGAUGGGUGAGUAACACGUGGGGAACCUGCCCCAUAGUCUGGGAUACCACUUGGAAACAGGUGCUAAUACCGGAUAAGAAAGCAGAUCGCAUGAUCAGCUUUUAAAAGGCGGCGUAAGCUGUCGCUAUGGGAUGGCCCCGCGGUGCAUUAGCUAGUUGGUAAGGUAAAGGCUUACCAAGGCGAUGAUGCAUAGCCGAGUUGAGAGACUGAUCGGCCACAUUGGGACUGAGACACGGCCCAAACUCCUACGGGAGGCAGCAGUAGGGAAUCUUCCACAAUGGACGCAAGUCUGAUGGAGCAACGCCGCGUGAGUGAAGAAGGUUUUCGGAUCGUAAAGCUCUGUUGUUGGUGAAGAAGGAUAGAGGUAGUAACUGGCCUUUAUUUGACGGUAAUCAACCAGAAAGUCACGGCUAACUACGUGCCAGCAGCCGCGGUAAUACGUAGGUGGCAAGCGUUGUCCGGAUUUAUUGGGCGUAAAGCGAGCGCAGGCGGAAGAAUAAGUCUGAUGUGAAAGCCCUCGGCUUAACCGAGGAACUGCAUCGGAAACUGUUUUUCUUGAGUGCAGAAGAGGAGAGUGGAACUCCAUGUGUAGCGGUGGAAUGCGUAGAUAUAUGGAAGAACACCAGUGGCGAAGGCGGCUCUCUGGUCUGCAACUGACGCUGAGGCUCGAAAGCAUGGGUAGCGAACAGGAUUAGAUACCCUGGUAGUCCAUGCCGUAAACGAUGAGUGCUAAGUGUUGGGAGGUUUCCGCCUCUCAGUGCUGCAGCUAACGCAUUAAGCACUCCGCCUGGGGAGUACGACCGCAAGGUUGAAACUCAAAGGAAUUGACGGGGGCCCGCACAAGCGGUGGAGCAUGUGGUUUAAUUCGAAGCAACGCGAAGAACCUUACCAGGUCUUGACAUCUAGUGCCAUUUGUAGAGAUACAAAGUUCCCUUCGGGGACGCUAAGACAGGUGGUGCAUGGCUGUCGUCAGCUCGUGUCGUGAGAUGUUGGGUUAAGUCCCGCAACGAGCGCAACCCUUGUUAUUAGUUGCCAGCAUUAAGUUGGGCACUCUAAUGAGACUGCCGGUGACAAACCGGAGGAAGGUGGGGAUGACGUCAAGUCAUCAUGCCCCUUAUGACCUGGGCUACACACGUGCUACAAUGGGCAGUACAACGAGAAGCGAGCCUGCGAAGGCAAGCGAAUCUCUGAAAGCUGUUCUCAGUUCGGACUGCAGUCUGCAACUCGACUGCACGAAGCUGGAAUCGCUAGUAAUCGCGGAUCAGCACGCCGCGGUGAAUACGUUCCCGGGCCUUGUACACACCGCCCGUCACACCAUGGGAGUCUGCAAUGCCCAAAGCCGGUGGCCUAACCUUCGGGAAGGAGCCGUCUAAGGCAGGGCAGAUGACUGGGGUGAAGUCGUAACAAGGUAGCCGUAGGAGAACCUGCGGCUGGAUCACCUCCUUU
Molecule: ribosomal RNA, 1564 nt
Filed under: Lactobacillus crispatus
Lineage: Bacteria; Bacillati; Bacillota; Bacilli; Lactobacillales; Lactobacillaceae
Description: bacterial SSU rRNA
Rfam family: Bacterial small subunit ribosomal RNA
Source: RNAcentral